UUGUUGGGCGGCGAGCGGCGGACGGGUGAGUAAUGCCUGGGAACAUGCCUUAGUGUGGGGGAUAACCAUUGGAAACGAUGGCUAAUACCGCAUAAUCUCUACGGAGCAAAGCGGGGGACCUUCGGGCCUCGCGCGCUAAGAUUGGCCCAGGUGGGAUUAGCUAGUAGGUGGGGUAACGGCUCACCUAGGCGACGAUCCCUAGCUGGUCUGAGAGGAUGAUCAGCCACACUGGAACUGAGACACGGUCCAGACUCCUACGGGAGGCAGCAGUGGGGAAUAUUGCACAAUGGGGGAAACCCUGAUGCAGCCAUGCCGCGUGUGUGAAGAAGGCCUUCGGGUUGUAAAGCACUUUCAGCAGUGAGGAAGAGGUGGUGUUUAAUAGAUGCCAUCUUUGACGUUAGCUGCAGAAGAAGCACCGGCUAACUCCGUGCCAGCAGCCG
This 440-nucleotide ribosomal RNA is filed under the name Photobacterium sp. M2. RNAcentral describes it as "bacterial SSU rRNA". It matches the Rfam family "Bacterial small subunit ribosomal RNA", at positions 81 to 517 of the family's 1533-position model. The record is from RNAcentral. Lineage: Bacteria; Pseudomonadati; Pseudomonadota; Gammaproteobacteria; Vibrionales; Vibrionaceae.